Molecule: ribosomal RNA, 630 nt
Filed under: Triticum aestivum (bread wheat)
Lineage: Eukaryota; Viridiplantae; Streptophyta; Magnoliopsida; Poales; Poaceae
Description: partial small subunit ribosomal RNA
Source: RNAcentral
AUGAAGCCAGCGGACCAAGUGGAGAUUUGGGAGGCCAUCUUGGCGGAUCCGCUUGAUUGGCUUCCAUCUUCUGUUACUAUUCCUCGUCCAAGCCAGGUGGAAGAAUACUUCAGUUAUGUGUAUGGCGAUGAUGACAUGGAAAUCAACAAAUUUGCACAAGAGCCCGAAGAUGGGCAGUGCCACCAGCAAUAUUUGGGAGAAUUCAUAUUAAACAAAAAUGGGAGGUGUGCCCCACAAGGUCCUCGCAAGAGGAGGAUAUUUCCUUCGGAAAGUAGAGGCAAGAAAUUGCACAGUCGAAAAAACAAUGAACACUGGACACUUGAAGAAGUGAAGAAGCUGAUUAGGGGUGUUAGGAGAUAUGGUGAACGGCGAUGGACUAAGGUGAAGCGUCAUUACUUCUCAUCAUCAGUUCGAAAGCCAACACAUCUCAAGGAUAAGUGGAGAAAUAUCCGGAGAGCUUGUGGAGUCCCGUGCCGCUCCAAAAGGAAGGAGAAGGCACAGAAGACUAUGUUCCGGCCCCUAGAUUCAAAGUCGGUCAAAGAGAUCCGAAGAGGUCUAGCAGACUUGGCUAAGAAACGGUUCCUGACUGAAUCAGCCAUAGAAGAUAAACUAGAUUUCAUCGCUACUUGA